CCUACGGGAGGCAGCAGUGAGGAAUAUUGGUCAAUGGGCGGAAGCCUGAACCAGCCAAGUCGCGUGAGGGAUUAAGGCCCUGCGGGUCGUAAACCUCUUUUGCCGGGGAGCAGUGGUCCGGACGAGUCCGGGCCGGGAGAGUACCCGGAGAAAAAGCAUCGGCUAACUCCGUGCCAGCAGCCGCGGUAAUACGGAGGAUGCGAGCGUUAUCCGGAUUUAUUGGGUUUAAAGGGUGCGUAGGCGGGCAUUUAAGCCGGCGGUCAAAUGUCGGGGCUCAACCCCGGCCUGCCGUCGGAACUGGGUGCCUUGAGUGGGCGAGAAGUAUGCGGAAUGCGGGGUGUAGCGGUGAAAUGCAUAGAUAUCACGCAGAACCCCGAUUGCGAAGGCAGCAUACCGGCGCCCGACUGACGCUGAGGCACGAAAGUGCGGGUAUCGAACAGGAUUAGAUACCCCGGUAGUC
This 460-nucleotide ribosomal RNA is filed under the name uncultured bacterium. RNAcentral's name for it is "partial 16S ribosomal RNA". It matches the Rfam family "Bacterial small subunit ribosomal RNA", at positions 338 to 795 of the family's 1533-position model. The record is from RNAcentral.